This 339-nucleotide ribosomal RNA is filed under the name Coelosia flava. RNAcentral describes it as "partial 16S ribosomal RNA". The record is from RNAcentral. Lineage: Eukaryota; Metazoa; Arthropoda; Insecta; Diptera; Mycetophilidae.
GUAGUUUUUUAAUUGGAAACUCGUAUGAAUGGUUCAACGAAAUAUUUUCUGUUUCAUAAAAAUUUAUAUAGAAAUUAAUUUUUCAGUUAAAAAGCUGAAAUGAAAUUAAAAGACGAGAAGACCCUAUAGAGUUUUAUAUAAAAUUUAUUAUAAUUUAUUUAUAAUAUUUAAAAUUUUAUUUAAUUUUAUAUUUUGUUGGGGUGACAGUAAAAUUUAUAAAUCUUUUAUUAUUUUUUAACAAUGAUUUUUGAACAAUUGAUCCAUUUUUAAUGAUUAAAAGAGUAAAUUACCUUAGGGAUAACAGCGUAAUUUUUUUGUAGAGUUCUUAUCGAUAAAAAU